UCAGCCCUGAAAUAUCGCUAACAGUUGUUUGGAGCUGUUGGUUUCAAGCAGGUGCCUAAAGAAAUGUCUUUCUAUGGUUGUUGGCCAUUUCAGAAAGUUGGAAAUGUAAUGAUCAAUUCAUUAGAAAGAAACAUGU
RNAcentral lists this small nucleolar RNA (136 nucleotides) under Nannospalax galili (Upper Galilee mountains blind mole rat). The record is from RNAcentral. Lineage: Eukaryota; Metazoa; Chordata; Mammalia; Rodentia; Spalacidae.